UAACACCCCUAGACACACUAGUAGAAAACUUAUAUGCACCAUCAAUAUUCAUUUUAUAUUCCUUGAGAGGUUGCUUAUGAUACUGUUAUCAGCUAAAUUCUUUUUUGUUGUGGUAAAAACAUUUUUUCAAUCUCUUUCAAUUUUAACAUUGAGCAAAUUGGUCUUAGUUAAAGCAAUUAAUUCUUAUCAAUUUCAAUAAUGAACAAUUAAGGACAGUUACAGGUUAAUGCUUUUCAUCAAAUUAACAUAAAUUAGAUUGAUAUAAUAUAAAUUUAACUCUUAAUAAUUUAGGCAUCCUAUCAAUUUGAUCCUAAUUUAAUAGAUUUAACCCAUAUUAUUUUUGUAAAUGUGUAAAUAUUGAGAUUAAAUUUAUUAAAUUUUAAGAAUCAAUAUCAAAUUAACAAAAUAUAUAAACAUUUAAGACUAAAUUUAUUAUACCAAUAAUAAAUAUGAACAAUUGAGGAAAAAUAUUAAUAUUGUUGUCCAUGAUUGCUCACUUUUAAAAUUGAUAACUUAAUUUUUUUUGAAAAGGAUCAAUUUGCUCAAUAUCUAAAUUGACAGGGACUGUAGAGGUGUUUUUACCGUGUUCUUUUUUCUUCUCUUUCUUCUUCAUGAAUUCAAUUGUUUCAAGACCCGGAUCCAGACCCUCACCCCAACAGGAAAAACAAGACCCGUCGCAGUCAAUUGUUUCAUUGAUGUUUCAUCGUUAUCAAUGAUGAUAACAUACACCGGCUUUCUCUUCGCGUUCACCUAUCCAGUCGCAGAAGCCAUUUCUGAAUCGAAGAUUUGGUUUGUCAAAAACCCUAGCCCCUCCUCCUUUGGCUCCUGACCCGAAACAAAAGGGAAAUUUUAAGCACACACAUUUUUUUUUCCGUUUUGGUAAGUUGUAAUGGGGAUUUGAUUUCACAGUUUUUUCUAUUAUUAAAUUUUUUUCACUUUUUUUUUUCAACGGUUCAGAUUUUAAAAUAUUAGAUCCAAUGGCUCUUUUUGUUUGAAGGGAUGCAAUUAUUUAGUCCUUCUUGCACGAGCUAACCCUAGAAUUUUCUUUAUAUAUACGAUCCUCUUUUCUCUGGCCGCAAACAAGCCCCUGGCUUCAAGUUCCCUAUAGAUCUGGAAAUUGAAUAAGAGUAUAGGUGGGUUGUAAACGAAGCAAUGAAUCGCGGUCAAUACCCACAAUUAGUGAUGCUGCUCAGUAUUCUAAUACUGGUCCUACUGUCUUAGUUUGCGUCUUGUCUUUUGAACUGGAUUUGCCGACUUAAACUGCGUCGUUGAAGGUUUCCAAAACCCGAGCCUGCAAAUCCAGUCAAAAGUUAAAACCGGGCUGAGAUUUACGAGUCUGAUAUAUAUGGGAGGUAUUAUGUGUUAAAACUAAUUCAGGUAAGCUGCUUCUUUUUCUGGUAUAUGUAUAUGUAUAUAUGUGUGUGUGUGUGUGUGAAAAUAUUUGCUAUAGUGGAUAUUUGUACAGCCUUUAUUGAAGUUGAACAUUAUCCUGCUAACAGGACUUGUAAUAAUUAAUGAGCUUGCAAGAUGUGAGCAUGAUAGUGUAUUUGAGAGUUUAGCUAGAGUUCUUUCCUAGUGCUAUAUAUAAUCUGAAUAUUUAUUAGUAGUGCUUUUUAUAUAUAAUUAGUUUGUAUUUGUAAUUGAUCAAAUCUAUAUUGGCUUGUUCGAGAACGAGCAAUCCAUGGCCACGUUUCAUAUUUAUUGAUCCACACAAGUUCAAGCUCCAACUAGUGAUUUAACCUUAAUAAAAACCAUAAAAAUAUGCAAAUCCAGUUCAAAAGAAGCGAAGUGCCAAGCACAUUCCUGACUCAAUCUCACUCACAGGUAUGGUUUUUAAGGAAGUACCACAUGUUGAUUAAUAACUUUUAUUGAUGUGCUUGAGACUGCUUGGGGAAUUCCAUACAUGUAAGAGUGUCAUGUACAUGUAGGAAUUAUGUGCGUAUCAGAACUUGCAUAAAGUAGAGCUUGUCCGUCAUCCCUUUAAUUUCUUUGACGGGCAGUUUAUUUCAUCUCUCGCAAACUAUAAACUGAUACGACCAUUAAUAUUCAUUUCUUUUAUUAAUUCUCUGGGUUACAGGUAAAGAUCAUACUAUAUAUAUAUAUAUAUAUAUAUAUAUUGGCCAGAAAUGUUUGUACUUUCUUUUUAAGCAAAUUUUGAACUUGGAUUAUUUUACCUGAACAUCAAUAAGCAGACAGAAAUGGUUGGAACUUAAAUAUUUUGAUUUUUAUGUCUUAUGAUCCUUUCAUGUCCUUUUUUAUGAUUCUUAGAUUGUACAUUCGUUCAAGGAAUACAUGGAGGAUUUUAAUGAAUUGGAAUGAAAUAAAGAUGCGCGCAAUUGUAGAAAUAUCAUAAUGUUGUUUCAACAUUGUUUGAUCGAUUCCACUUGUUUGUAAGAGGCCAAAUAAAAACAAUAAAUAUUAGACAAAUACACACACAAAUGUCCUGAGUAGGAAAGCUGUAAAUUUCUAAUUCUCUGUCUAAUGCUGUGUACUUCCCUACUUAUUUGCAGGGUCAUCAUGAUGCUGAUGCUGUUGCUCUGUAUAUGAAAGACUAUUGGUGGUGGUUUUGAAUUCUGUAAUCGGUCAGACGACAAGAUAUAUGAUGAUUUGGGUGAAGGCACCAGUGGUGCUAUAGCAAAUCCACACAAUAUGGAACUGUCACAAGAGAACACCUUUACUGUUGAUCCUGUUCUUCCGUCACUGCUGUGUUCUUCUGAUAUGGAAAACUUUGGUUAUUUUGGACUCUGUGAUCUGUCAGACAAUGAGAUAUGUGGUCAUUCGGGUGAAGGCACCAGUGAAGGCACCAGUGAUGCCAGAGAACACCUGUACCGUUCAAGGGUGUGCAGAUAUUCAGAACUCAUUACCUGCCGUAGCUGAAGUUCACCACAACCCAGUAAUGCAUGGCCUCACAAAGAAGUCGGCCGAGGCAAAGGGCAAGAGAUCGGUCGAAGAGAUAAAGGACGAAGCUUAUAUCAAAAAAGGCAAAAUGAAGGUGGUGAAUGACAACUGAUUCAAAAGAAAAUCGACUGAUGUUGCUGAAGAAACCAAGGUUUAUAUAAUUGCUUAUUUUCUUUUCAAAAGAUUAUGACUUUUAAAUGAAGUCCCAAUGUGUUUAUUGGGAUGUUGAUGAACUGAAGAUACAAAGGUGUGUUUUUGUGUGACGGUUUGUGUGUGAAUUUUCUGUUUAUUAUCAGGAGUCUUCAGUAUUGUGAACUCCAUGCUCCUCGUAUGGAUUUUUUUUCUUCUUCGAACUGGAUUAUUUUCAUUAAGAGUUCAAUAUGUAUGUCAUGGUUAUGUUAGAUA
This is a long non-coding RNA of Gossypium raimondii (Peruvian cotton), 3303 nucleotides long. RefSeq lists it as uncharacterized. The record is from RefSeq and is a predicted model, not a curated record. The transcript has 7 exons. Lineage: Eukaryota; Viridiplantae; Streptophyta; Magnoliopsida; Malvales; Malvaceae.